This 406-nucleotide ribosomal RNA is filed under the name uncultured bacterium. RNAcentral's name for it is "partial 16S ribosomal RNA". It matches the Rfam family "Bacterial small subunit ribosomal RNA", at positions 29 to 526 of the family's 1533-position model. The record is from RNAcentral.
AUUGAACGCUGGCGGCAGGCCUAACACAUGCAAGUCGAGCGAGCGGCGGACGGGUGAGUAAUGUCUGGGAACCUGCCUGAUGGAGGGGGAUAACAACUGGAAACGGUAGCUAAUACCGCAUACCAUCAGAUGUGCCCAGAUGGGAUUAGCUAGUAGGUGGGGUAACGGCUCACCUAGGCGACGCGCCCUAGCUGGUCUGAGAGGAUGACCAGCCACACGGGAACUGGGACACGGUCCAGACUCCUACGGUAGGCAGCAGUGGGGAAUAUUGCACAAUGGGCGAAAGCCUGAUGCAGCAAGGCCGCGUGUGUGAAGAAGGCCUUCGGGUUGUAAAGCACUUUCAGCGGGGAGGCGUUACCCGCAGAAGAAGCACCGGCUAACUCCGUGCCAGCCGCCGCGGUAAUUC